Molecule: ribosomal RNA, 497 nt
Filed under: uncultured bacterium
Lineage: Bacteria
Description: partial 16S ribosomal RNA
Rfam family: Bacterial small subunit ribosomal RNA
Source: RNAcentral
GAUGAACGCUGGCGGCGUGCCUAAUACAUGCAAGUCGAGCGAACGGACGAGAAGCUUGCUUCUCUGAUGUUAGCGGCGGACGGGUGAGUAACACGUGGAUAACCUACCUAUAAGACUGGGAUAACUUCGGGAAACCGUAGCUAAUACCGGAUAAUAUUUUGAACCGCAUGGUUCAAAAGUGAAAGACGGUCUUUCUGUCACUUAUAGAUGGAUCCGCGCUGCAUUAGCUAGUUGGUAAGGUAACGGCUUACCAAGGCAACGAUGCAUAGCCGACCUGAGAGGGUGAUCGGACACCCUGGAACAGAGGCACAGCACAGACUCCUACGGGAGGAAGCAGUAGGGAAUCUUCCGCAAUGGGCGAAAGCCUGACGGAGCAACGCCGCGUGAAUGCUGAAGGUCUUCGGAUCGUAAAACUCUGUUAUUAGGGAAGAACAUAUGUGUAAGUAACUGUGAACAUAUUGACGGUACCUACUCAGAAAGCCACGGCUAACUACGUG